UACGGGGGGAGCAAGCGUUGUUCGGAAUUACUGGGCGUAAAGCGCACGUAGGCGGACUAUUAAGUCAGGGGUGAAAUCCCGGGGCUCAACCCCGGAACUGCCUUUGAUACUGGUAGUCUCGAGUCCGGAAGAGGUGAGUGGAAUCCCGAGUGUAGAGGUGAAAUUCGUAGAUAUUCGGAGGAACACCAGUGGCGAAGGCGGCUCACUGGUCCGGUACUGACGCUGAGGUGCGAAAGCGUGGGGAGCAAACAGG
This 253-nucleotide ribosomal RNA is filed under the name uncultured bacterium. RNAcentral describes it as "partial 16S ribosomal RNA". It matches the Rfam family "Bacterial small subunit ribosomal RNA", at positions 524 to 776 of the family's 1533-position model. The record is from RNAcentral.